GUGCUUGCUUAGGCAGCACAUAUACUAAAAUUGGAACUAUGCAGAGAUUAGCAUGGUGCCUGCUUGAGGAUGACACACAGAUUCAUGAAGCAUUCCAUAUUUUU
Molecule: small nuclear RNA, 104 nt
Organism: Sorex araneus (European shrew)
Lineage: Eukaryota; Metazoa; Chordata; Mammalia; Eulipotyphla; Soricidae
Source: Ensembl